CGGAGAGUCCGAGGCGUACACUCCGGUGCUCCUCGCUGGUAGACCAAAACUCUGUCGAGAGUUUUGGAGCAGAACAGGAGGAGCCUCGGCCGCCGCUUCGCUCGCCGCCACGAGAAGAGCUGCUGAUGCACCUCCUCUGCUUGGGCCGGUAUUCAGACACACCUAAGUUCUUUUACCUACUCUUCGGUAUGCUACCACUCCAUAAUUGAGCAGCUCAACUUCUUGAGGUCGCCCUUGCACUACUUGACUCUUUUCUAUAGCUCGUUAACACAUACGUUGUUCGACCCGGACCAAUACAAAGACAACGUUGAGCUUACGAAAGAGUCUCCUGUUGUCGAGACCUCGUCCUAUAACUCUAGGAAGUCUUCUUCAAUUCACCUACGAAUUCUCUCUUGGUUUUAAACGUUCUCCUCGAACGACUCCGAAUAGCUCAAUUCUCGGUCGAACGACUAAAUAUACCACGACUCGAUAGUUUCUGGUUCCUCGAUCUCGUCGUUCACUCCAAAAAGGUCUCGUCGCAACGAGUUCGUAAACGACUUGCUCUACCAAGUAACAACCUCACACUCUUUCGUUUCCUCGCUCUUCUUCGUCCCAAUUUUUACACGCGAUGGAAACUCCUUUCCUGCUCUCUUAUAGUUUGACGUUACCUUCUAGUCUUUGCAAACUUGCUACGGGACGUUUACCUCAACUGUCUUGAUUUUCGCGUAUGUCUUAGAAGGAACUUACAAUAAUUUUUUAAGAUACUUCAAGCAAGCUCCCUUACACUUACGGGAAGUUUGUAAUGAAAACUUCUCUUUACGAGUUAAGAAGAUCUACUAAGACGACUGUCAACCUCAAAGUUGGACCUACCGCUUUGGAGUUGAAGCUUCAUGUAACGUAGAGAUCUUGUCCUCUUACUCAGCGAAUUUCGAUUUUAUAGAUUCGACGUUUCGUUAGAUUCUUACUCAAAGCUUUAACUUGUCGUGAACGUUUCUUUACAUGCUUGUGACCUUUUCUUUGUCCGUGAGUUACUACUAGAAUACUCUCUACCAGACAGUCGAGAAGUUUUUCAGAUAUGUGUAGUUUCCCGACUUUAAUACUUUUAUAACCUUCUUCUUAGUGAAGACAAUUCGUGCCGACAAUUACUCUAAGUUCUGUUCAAUUGAGUUUAAACGUAGUUACGACUCUAGUAACCAUUGGGACAACUCUUCUACGUUACGACACUGUCAUCAACAUUUCUGCACGUACAAUGAUACCUAUAACCGGGACUUUGGUAGGGGUUCCCACUACAAGGAUGUCCAAUAAGAUGUUGUAAACUACUAAGUUUUCGUGAACGAGUUUGAAACGUCCUCUUCUACCUCCGCGAAUACGAAAAGAGUGUCCUUGUUCUUUCUAUGGACAACCUUUUUGUCUUCUUGGUUCGAUAAUAUCUCCUGGAAGUCUUCUUGAAUAGAGUUCAAUUUCUACUUUUCCACUUCCAGGACUACCUCAAUCGUUUUGACUUUCUUCGAAUAGAGGACUUUACGAGAUGACGUUUACUACCAGUACCAUAACAACUAUGAGGUUUUUAGUGAAGACCCGUACUGGUUGUUCCCUACGACUUCUGAUAAGAAUUGUCUUGUAGAGAUUCUGUUACCUAUUUUUUCCUUUUAUUAUGACCCGUACUCUCGAGAGCACCUUUACUAGUCUGUCACACAUCUCCCACGAGUCAUCUAGAUAGUUCCUACUUUCAACUUUUACGAUGGGAAAACCUUUCACAACGAUGAUACCUUGUAGAGUGAAGAAACCAAGUAUCCGACGUGUCUCACGAAUACUUCCAUAUACUACUACAGUUUAGGCCGACAAGAAACCUCUCAUCAAUACUUCGUGACUCGUCAGAAUAUUGUCUUCGCUUGGAAUACUCUUGCCGAGACCCGCAGCAAGAGGGUCAUUCGACCAGUCCCCUAAGUAGUCCACCAUAGUGAAGUCCGAGCGGAUUUAGUAGUUUUAGGCUUUUCCGCCUGGGGGAACCAAGGCGAUCGUACCUCUACAACCUCGAUGAAUAUAAUCGACGCCUAUAGGAGUCUCUCUCGAAAUACAAGUUCUUUACUAAUUUCUAAGUCUUCGUACAUAUGUUAAAUUAGAACUCUCUCUUAACAGGCGAACUCAACUAAAGAAUGACACAUGACGAUGAGACAUUUAUACGCCUUCACCUUUGACGACGUUUUACAAACAUAUAUUUGGACUACCAAACGUACGGUUUCUCUACCAUUUAGGACGUUUGACUACUAAAACGUACAGUUUUAAUGGUCGAUCAUGAACAACUGUUUAAUGUAUGUACUCACUCGCAAACACGGUAAAAAUUAGCGUUUUCUACUGUUCUCAAACAAGGCGUUUAAGCGAUUCGCCAUGAACUGUUCACUUCCGUGUCAACAUUGUAUGAGGGAGGCAUGUUAAAACAUAAUUUCCAUCGUGUUUCAACUCUAUGAUUUAAUCAUGUUUUAAUUCUGUGAAUCUCGACGUCAACCCCUCGCCUCCCUAGGUUUGUCCCGGAAUAAAACUCUACCAGGGAGGUUUGUCCCGGAAUAAAACUCUACCUCCUUCAUAGUGAGUUGAUGUCUAUUUUUGUGUUCGUUAAUUCACUACCUCAACUACUAAUUUGGUCUCUAGACAUGCUGGUUGACAAGUUAAUAAAUAAAUAAUAUAGGUUCAUGUUCGGAGUGAAACAAGAGCAAACGUUGUCAUGUAGUCCUAGUUUGGCUGCCACUACGUUCUUCGCACCGAACACCUUCAUGUCCUCGAGUCCGCAUCAUGAACUAGUUCGACGACAUCAACCAGACGAACAGCUUCAUAGCCAGGGUCUCGUACUACGGCGGCAUCAACAGGAAGAAGACGCGGUGGCCGCGCUGCGGCAUCAUCUGCAAGAACCCCACAUGGGUGACCACCCUGAACAGCAGGCGGCACUCGGGCUGCAUCUUGGCCCACCGGCCCAUGCGGCGGCAGGUGAACAGGGUGCUCGGGAGGGUGGGUUCCAAGACCAACGUGGUGAACAGCGAGAGCAUCCAGGAGUGCACCUGCGCGAGCUUCUAGGGGCAGCGGUCGCGGGCGGGGUGCACGCGGCGGCCGCCCAUGGGCGUGGCCUGGCAGCGGCAGUCCACGUCGCCGAAGGGGCCCGGGGGCGCCUACAACACGAACCGGUCGAGGUCGCGGUCGUGCAGCAUCGCCAGGCGGCCGCACGGCACGAGGUCCUUCUCCAGCUGCGGCAGCUCGGUGCGCAGCGGCUUCCCCGCCCCCUGCGAGCCGAACCUGGGCGGCUUCAUCCUCAAGGUCUCCACCAGCUUCUCCAGCUCGCGCCUCGCCAACCUGCCGUCGCUCAUCGGCCACGGCAUCGGCGGCUACCUCUCCCUCUGUCCCUGCGGGAACCUGACCGUCACGAACUACAGCCGCGGCUGCCUCCUCUCCAGUACCGGCCUCUCCAGCUCCACCAUGAACGGCAACCGCGGCUUCUGCAGCUCCUUCCUGUACCACUGGUACCACAUGUAUGGCCUCAGCGUCCGGAGUGCGUCCCUCGGGAGCCGGAACAAGGCAGGGGUCUUGUGGCAGUGGACCGGCCAGAAAGGGGGGCGGCGGUUCCGGCAGCCCCAGUCCUUAUUCCGGCGCCGCUGCCUCUCCUCCCGGUCCUCCGUCCGACCGGAGGCCCGACGCUCGCCGCGGUAACAACCAAAGAGGUUCAUGACCGAUCAUCGAACACAAGCGAACAAACCUAC
RNAcentral lists this ribosomal RNA (3725 nucleotides) under Triticum aestivum (bread wheat). Its description in RNAcentral is "partial small subunit ribosomal RNA". Lineage: Eukaryota; Viridiplantae; Streptophyta; Magnoliopsida; Poales; Poaceae. The record is from RNAcentral.